Molecule: long non-coding RNA, 707 nt
Organism: Folsomia candida
Lineage: Eukaryota; Metazoa; Arthropoda; Collembola; Entomobryomorpha; Isotomidae
Exons: 2
Source: RefSeq, a predicted model, not a curated record
UUUCAAUCCCUUCCAGACCAUGUUGAUUCAUAUUAGCAUUAAGAAGUGUACGAAUUCCAUACUUUAAGCUACAUCCAGUCACUAAUAUGAAAAUUCUGAGCAUCCUGAUUACAACCAUUCUUCAACAUUUGAUCAACUAUUCUAAAAUGGCCAUGGCGGAUUGUUGCACAUCAUUCAUAGCGUAUGGCUGCACUGUUGACGGUUAUCCCAUGUCACGCGUCGGCUUUUCGGAGACCUGCCUUGAUUGUACAGUGCCCACGCCGUGCUGUGGGUACCAAAGUUGUAACAUAUUCUGUUGUAAUUGCGAGUGUCGUAAGCAGUGGAAUUGUGAGCAAUUUAUGGGGUGCGUACUGGACAAGGGGAGGAGAAAAAGGUCACUGCGAAAUGAUUUUGCCCAAAUGGAAUACGAACUGGAAAUUGAUCCGGACAUCGGGGCAUAUACCAUUUUCAACUCGGUCGAUACCAAUUCGGAUGGACGUCUCGACUUAGACGAGGUCAAGACGUGGACGAAAUUGAGGAAUGUUACCUUUAGUAAUAACGAGUUUCGUGCAAUGGACGUUAGUGGAGAUGGAUAUUUGCAAUUGGGUGAAAUAGAUGACGUAAAUGAUGAUUGAAUUUAGAUCAAGAAUUGGUUUUGAUUGAUUAUAUGCUUCCUAAAUGAUUUGUACAUUUCUGGUCUAGUAAAAGUUGUGGAUUAAUAUGAAUAA